Molecule: non-coding RNA, 30 nt
Filed under: Mus musculus (house mouse)
Lineage: Eukaryota; Metazoa; Chordata; Mammalia; Rodentia; Muridae
Source: RNAcentral
UGGCUGGACCUAGUGUAGAGAGGGACCUCC